GGCCAGACUCCUACGGGAGGCAGCAGUGGGGGAUAUUGCACAAUGGGGGGAACCCUGAUGCAGCGACGCCGCGUGGGUGAAGAAGUAUUUCGGUAUGUAAAGCCCUAUCGGCAGGGAAGAAAUUGGACGGUACCUGACUAAGAAGCCCUGACUAACUACGUGCCAGCAGCCGCGGUAAUACGUAGGGGGCAAGCGUUAUCCGGAUUCACUGGGUGUAAAGGGAGCGUAGACGGCCAUGCAAGCCUGGAGUGAAAGCCCGGGGCCCAACCCCGGGACUGCUCUGGGAACUGUGCGGCUGGAGUGCGGGAGGGGCAGGCGGAAUUCCUGGUGUAGCGGUGAAAUGCGUAGAUAUCAGGAGGAACACCGGCGGCGAAGGCGGCCUGCUGGACCGCGACUGACGUUGAGGCUCGAAAGCGUGGGGAGCAAACAGGAUUAGAUACCCGGGUA
Molecule: ribosomal RNA, 447 nt
Filed under: uncultured bacterium
Lineage: Bacteria
Description: bacterial SSU rRNA
Rfam family: Bacterial small subunit ribosomal RNA
Source: RNAcentral